UGUAGGUUUGUGCUGUGUUUGUAUGUGUGAUCUGAGCGCCAUCCGGUGGACAGACGACAUUUUUAUUUGAUACUCGCGCCAUUUUUGCGUUGAGUAUGGGCGCAACCAAGUGUAUAAUUGGAGGGGGGCACUCACCCAUUUUCCUUAACAAACGGAAAUAUAUUAAAAACGAGUAGACGUAAAUAAAUAGAAUAGAUGAAAAGACAGAUCAGUUUGCAAGGUUCAUUAAAGGGGGACAUAUAGAAAACAUUUUCUACUGUAUAUUGGGAGGGAAAGAUUGGUAUUACCUCAACAUUGGCGGGGACACGCCCCCCCCAAAAGAAUACGUGGUUACGCCCAUGGUUGUAGGAGACACAUUUUUCCUCAGGAGUCACAACACAGCAGACACGGGGUUUUCUUUCUUCAAUUUUAACUUUUCUCAGGAGUUUAAGUCAUCUGGUGGGCGUGGCUGAGUGCGCAGGUGCGUCAUUCAAACCGAGCGAGAUGACUGUUGAGAAUCAGACAGCGCGAGACAGCUCCUUUCAGCUAAAUUGAGGGUGGUUCCUAUUAGGUCUGCUAAUGGGACCGCCCUCCUGAUUGGCUGAAUAUAAAGGCACCCGCUCUAGCGGCGCUGCUUGCAGAACAGCAAGAUGUCACGGAGGAGAGCGUGUCCAGUUUGUCGGCGUUUCUACACCAACGUGCAGGCUCAUCUCGCCCAGAUUCAUCAGCAGGGUCCAGAGGAACGCGGGCUUCACCUGGCGGCGGCGAGCGGGUGAUAUGCGGAUCCUCUGGACUGCCCGGUGUCUGCAUGCAGCAGGAAAGGUUUCCGCCGGCUAGACUGCCACCUGUUCGACCUUCACCAGCUCGCCGGGGACACGGUCAGGAAGUUACUACUCGGCGCCAAAAUAAAGCUGCUCAACAACAACUGCAAGCUUUCGGUGAGGCGAAGAAAUCUAAAAGUUGCAAAUGUUCUCAACUGAUCGAAAAAGUAGCAAAACUCUCCGCAGAAUUUGAGCGGCUGUCAGCACUAGUAGCCCGGCAUGUCCCCGGCCGCCUGCCCAACCCCCUUUUUUUUUUUUCCAGAGCCAAUGUUAAGUGUACACGGCUCGGCUUGACAGGCCUCAGAGAUGUCCCCAAAGCCACGGCCAACAGCAAGCAGGAGAGGAGACACGUCGAGCACUUCCUUCACUUUGUGGGCCAACACGGACAGUCCCCUGGCAGCCCACCUGAAGUACAUUGACAAUGUCUCGAGAGUCCUUGAAUGGAUGAAAUCAUUGUGCCAGCGGUAGAAGGUCACUACGGCCAAGUUAUUUCUGACGCGCGUUUCCAAGUUCCUCCAUUAACUCGAUGAGAGACUGACCGAGGGCCGAGUUGGCUCCACGAGGUUGUCGAGUCUCCAAAGACUGCUGCAGCGGGAGUGCAGACAUCUGUCCGGUCGAGUCGUGCUCCACAGGCAAGGCGUGCGAGCGGAGAAGAGCGUGGGAGUACUUACGGCUCCUGCACGGCAAACUGUCGGACGCUGUCCCUGCUUCGCUGAUCUGAAGGCUCGUCCAGCAGACCCGGACAUGCUCAACCAUUGCAUCGGGCUGCUGUGUGCUCACUUCUUUUCGGUCAGCGGACACAGGACCGGAGUCCUGCAGAACCUCACGACUGAGGAGUUUGAGAACCUCGAGAAGGCUGACGGCGGUCUCUUUCUGAUCAAUGUGAAGCAGCACAAACCUGCCUCCGCUUUCGGACUCGCUAAGCUGGCCGUCACCAAGCUGGAGCUGAAGUGGCUGAAAGCUUUCUGCCGCCUGAGGAAGCAUAUGCCGGGAUAUGAGACUUCUGUGGGGUGGCUUUUCUUUUCUGGCACACAGGCCAGGAUUUCUGCGCAUGUCGCACAGCCGAAAUUUCCUCUUUUUUUUUUUUUUUUUAAGUACAUGGACGGAGCUCCGGGCAGAGGGCGAAGAGAGCGUCCAGACUCGUGAGCUCCAGAAUGAUCACCGCUGAAUUUUUUCCUCGUUGAUUAUAAUGGUUUAUGCGUUCCUAGUCAGGGCAAGCUACUGUUUGUUGCACCUCUUCCAUCCUCCUCCACGGUCUGAAGCCAGCUGCAGCCACCUUUUCAUCACCGUCACAAUCUCAGCACUUGUUGCCCUUGAUGUUAACGGGUUCUUUCGGACAGCAUCUAAUGAACAUGAGGCAAAACAGUUGACAACUUCUGCAAUUCGAGACACGCUAAAAAGGCUAUUUAUACUUCUACGUCAGACCUUUGCGUUGCCUGA
Long non-coding RNA from Ictalurus punctatus (channel catfish), 2240 nucleotides. RefSeq lists it as uncharacterized. The record is from RefSeq and is a predicted model, not a curated record. The transcript has 5 exons. Lineage: Eukaryota; Metazoa; Chordata; Actinopteri; Siluriformes; Ictaluridae.